UGGGGAAUAUUGCACAAUGGGCGCAAGCCUGAUGCAGCCAUGCCGCGUGUAUGAAGAAGGCCUUCGGGUUGUAAAGUACUUUCAGUCGGGAGGAAGGUGGUAAGGUUAAUAACCUUAUCAAUUGACGUUACCGACAGAAGAAGCACCUGCUAACUCCGUGCCAGCAGCCGCGGUAAUACGGAGGGUGCAAGCGUUAAUCGGAAUUACUGGGCGUAAAGCGCACGCAGGCGGUUGAUUGAGUCAGAUGUGAAAUCCCCGGGCUUAACCCGGGAAUUGCAUCUGAUACUGGUCAGCUAGAGUCUUGUAGAGGGGGGUAGAAUUCCAUGUGUAGCGGUGAAAUGCGUAGAGAUGUGGAGGAAUACCGGUGGCGAAGGCGGCCGCCUGGACAAAGACUGACGCUCAGGUGCGAAAGCGUGGGGAGCAAACAGG
Molecule: ribosomal RNA, 429 nt
Filed under: Chloroflexota bacterium
Lineage: Bacteria; Bacillati; Chloroflexota
Description: Chloroflexi bacterium partial 16S ribosomal RNA
Rfam family: Bacterial small subunit ribosomal RNA
Source: RNAcentral